RNAcentral lists this long non-coding RNA (3349 nucleotides) under Malus domestica (apple). RNAcentral's name for it is "long non-coding RNA (MDOM_LNC002955)". The record is from RNAcentral. Lineage: Eukaryota; Viridiplantae; Streptophyta; Magnoliopsida; Rosales; Rosaceae.
UAUUUUAUUUAUUUAUUUAUUUAUAGUAAUAACAAAAACAACCACCAUGAACUAAAUUACUUGAUUUUGAAUUCUUUAUUAUGGUUACACUGCGCAUAGUGACAUCAUGAUGACAUCUUGAACCAGAAACAUGCAUUGUUGAGAAAGAUUAUAGGGCAAUCCAGAAUCAACAUGACAGUAGAUUUUAUUACUUGAAAGAAAAUAGAACUCAAUAUUCUUUUUAUUUUUUAUUUUUUAUUUUAGUUAAGGCUACGUGAGGACACAAAUGGAAUUUAGCUGCAACUACGUAUGAAAAAUUAGUGCUUUACCACUUGCUAGAAGCUCCCACAUACUCUGAGAUUUAACUAGCUAAACCCAACCUUAGAUAACGAAAACAUAAAUGCAUUACUAUGUCAACAGAUUAUGCCGCGUCUAAAAGUAAUUAUACUUUUCAAAACGUGUAACUAAGAAAUAUCUGUAAGUUGCAGUAAGUAAAUCUUCCAAAAGCUCUACUAAAUUUUAUCACUGAUAUGAGAGCACGCUCCAUUUACGUUUCGUUUUAAAGUUGCUAAUUGUAUUGUUCUGAGUUCUCACAUGGAUCAGUAAAUUGUAACUUUUUUAUUAAGUCCUUCUACUGAUCUAUUACCAGAAAAUGAAGUCCUACUUAUCUUUAGCAAUGAUAAAGUUUGAGAAAGCUAGUAUAUAUAGGACAGAUUGCCCCAUGAAGGUAUUAAAACAGCAUGUGCUCUUUUCAUUUUUCUACUAAUGCCGCUAUAUUAUAAUCAGGGAAUAUUUAGUCGAAUGAGGAUUUGGGUCAAUUUAGGAUGAGUGGCAGAUGAAAUCUUUGGUUCAAAGUAAAUAGAUUAUGUGGCAGGGUUGCAUUUUAAAAAGUCUGAAGUUGUGUUUAAGUUUGGACGGCUAGUUUUCUUUGACAGCUUCUAGUGGUUUCUCUGUGUUGAUUAAUUAUUCAAUUCUACCUUUGGUAACCUUCCUUUUUGUGUUCCAAUAACUUUAAUGUUUGAACUUUACUUUAGCAAACAAGUGAGUCUCUAUCGCAAUCUGCUCAUAUGUUUUUGGCCUGUUAUACAAGUCAAAUCAAGUUUUUGUUUGCUUUUAUGCCCAUUUGGAUCGUUUGAUACCAAGUUUGAGUCCAGAUAUGUAUUGUUCUACAGGUUCUUCAUGGCUAAAUACCACGAGUUCUAUGAGGACGCGGCUUCGGUUGGUCGUGGCAAUAACAAGUUUGAGUCCAGAUCCCUAUAAUGUUCUCCAGUUCUUUAUGGCUAAAUACGUUGAGUUUUAUGGCGACGCAGCUUCGGUUGGUGGGGGCAAUCAAGGUUUAGGAUUAUAUGUUAAUUUAGGUAUUCAGUUAUUGUGAGUGGUAUGAGCUUGGUUUUGAUGUACAAUUUAAGUUUAUCUAAUGAAUAUCGUUUCCUAUAAAAAAAAACUUGUGAAAAAAAUUUGCUUACUUGGAAUCAUCAGAUUUAAGCCAAGUAAAAUACAUAAGAUUAGUUGAAGGUAUGAAAAUGAGUUUAAGGGAGAACCAGGCCGUCUUUGAGAUUUCGGAGACUAUGUGCCAAAUUUAUAAAAUGGUCGCUCCUUAAGAUAGUUUUCCAAAAAAGUCGGGCACAAGAAAACAAUAACUUAAAUGAAAACAAACUUUAGGGCUCACGGAUUAUAAGUUUACAAAUGUCAUUAAAUAAUAAGAAAAAAUAGAGUUACAAACAUAACCUUCACCACAUAAUCUAAAGCAGUACAAUCUUAAACAACCAAACAAGAAAAAAGCUUAAAUAACUCUAACUUUAAAGUUUCACUUGAAUAUAUAGCAUUAUUAUGUAAUAAAAUUCAAAAAAUAAAAUAAAAUCCUUUUUAGGGUGUUGUUUCAAAUAUCUCAUUGUGCACUCUAAAUUUUUAUAUUUAGAAAGAAAAAAUAUACACUUAUAAAGAAUGCACAAUGAGAUUUUUAAAUGCUAACAAAAACUUUUAGGGGGCCUUUCAAACUUAAAACCCUAUGCGAUUUCACCAUUCGCUCCCUCAAAGCCGCCUCCGGAGAGAACCCCAAGUUUUCUGUUUUCUUAACUCUAUUAUAUGCGUAGGGCACUUAGCUAGAGUAUAUUUACUUGAUCUGGUAAAUAUGCGUGCAUUAUGUAUUGUCUUUGUUAUAUUAUGAUUCUUUUUUUUUUAAUGAUAGAUUUGUUAGAUUAGAUGUUAGAUUAAGGAGCUGAUAGGAUUUGAACUCAUAUCAUAGUGCAAGGACAACAUUUAUCUCUAUCACUGUGGGAAAGGGUCACUUGCUUAUAUUAUGAUUCAUUGAAUGACUGUUGUUUUUCUUACUCGAUAAAGAAAUUAAAAAAACGGUGGAUGGGUAUGUUAACCAAAGAAAAUUGAAGAGUUUGAUCCCAUCAAUUAAUUUCUCAAAGUUCAACUGACAUGCAUGUGUGCUAAUCAUAUCUUAGAAGAAAAAAGUGAUCAUUUUGGUUCUGAUCCCUAAUCAACCUAGUUGUUAGAAUGAAACUUUAUUUGUUUAAAUAGUUUGAUCAAGGUCUCUAGCAUCAUUUCAGGGAUUUAGCUCAUGCAUUUAUGCAUUCAAUAUCCCAUAAGUUAUGAAAUUUAAACAAAUCCAAAUAAUAUUGAUACAAAUAUAACAAUUACGUAAAAAUCAAUAAUAGAGUAAUUUGUUCUUCACAUAGUUCUAGCAAAAAAAAAAUUAAAAAAAAUAUUUACCCACGUAAUUAUUAAUAAGGAAAACUAAUGAAAAUGACUUGAAAACUUUGAGUUUUAACGAUAAGGACAAAAUAAAGGGUAAAGUGAAUAGUACCAAGAUUAACUUUUUAGUGUAAAAAUAUGGUUUUUCAUUAAAGUGAACAAUACCGAGAGUUUUUCGUUAAAGUUCCCUUAUUAAUAUAGUGUAAGUAAUAACUAUUGAUAUAUUUUAAAGCAUAAAAUAAACACAUAUAAUUAGCAUGGGUACGUUCAUAAAUAUUGGUACAAAUUAAAUUAAAAAUAUGGGUACAUAUUAAAAUUCAAAACUAUAGGUACAUAUAAUUAGCAUGGGUCCAUUCAUAAAUAUUGGUACAAAUUAAAUUAAAAAUAUAGGUACAUAUGAAAAUCGACACACCCCGACCGAGAUCAAGGCAUGCAGGUCGUCACGUAAGAGUGACGUAGCCAUGUGCACAGUGCGGAAGCGAUAAUGAUAAGAAUUGUACGAAUAAUUAAAAACCGAAUUACUAGAGUGCACUACUAAACAGAUAGUGAUAGGAGUUAGUUACAACAGUAAACACUCCUAAUCAGAGCAUAAAGUCUAGGUGCAGUCCAGUAGGACAAGUACUAGUUAUAUAGUACCAGGAAUGUCCUACUAUUAUUUAGAUAAGUC